CCUACGGGUGGCAGCAGUGGGGAAUAUUGCACAAUGGGGGAAACCCUGAUGCAGCGACGCCGCGUGAGUGCAGAAGUAUUUCGGUACGUAAAGCUCUAUCAGCAGGGACGAAAAUGACGGUACCUGACUAAUAAGCACCUGCUAACUACGUGCCAGACGCCGCGGUAAUAAGUAGGGGGCAAGCAUUAUCCGGAUUUACUGGGUGUACAGGGAGCGUAGACGGCAGCGCGAGUCUGGAGUGAAAUCCCAUGGCUUAACCAUGGAAUUGCUAUGGAAACUGUGCAGCUAGAGUGCAGGAGAGGUAAGCGGAAUGGCUAGUGUAUCGGGGAAAUGGGUAGAUAUUAGGAGGAACACGAGUGUCGAAGGCGGCUUACUGGACUGUAACUGACGUUGAGGCUCGAAAGCGUGGGGAGCAAACAGGAUGAGAUACCCCUGUAGUC
Molecule: ribosomal RNA, 440 nt
Filed under: uncultured bacterium
Lineage: Bacteria
Description: partial 16S ribosomal RNA
Rfam family: Bacterial small subunit ribosomal RNA
Source: RNAcentral